RNAcentral lists this microRNA (22 nucleotides) under Oryza sativa (Asian cultivated rice). RNAcentral describes it as "osa-miR2099-5p". Lineage: Eukaryota; Viridiplantae; Streptophyta; Magnoliopsida; Poales; Poaceae. The record is from miRBase by way of RNAcentral.
UGAAUAUGUUUGUACAAGCUUU